Non-coding RNA from Glomus cerebriforme, 84 nucleotides. The record is from the annotation of a GenBank genome assembly. NCBI's taxonomy places the organism in Eukaryota, Fungi, Glomeromycota, Glomeromycetes, Glomerales, Glomeraceae.
GCCUAGAUGUCGGAAUUGGUAAACGGGGAUGACUCAAAAUCAUCUGAGUGCAANCUCUUGUGGGUUCAAAUCCCACUCUAGGUA